Long non-coding RNA from Melanaphis sacchari, 413 nucleotides. RefSeq lists it as uncharacterized. The transcript has 3 exons. The record is from RefSeq and is a predicted model, not a curated record. NCBI's taxonomy places the organism in Eukaryota, Metazoa, Arthropoda, Insecta, Hemiptera, Aphididae.
AGUAACUUUACCAAAUCCGAUAAUAACAGCAAAUAUCUCAAAUGAAUUAUGUAUAAUAUGCAAUAUAUACAUGGAAUUCAAUGUACACCAAACAAACUAAAAAUUAAGCGAUGAUUACGUAUAGGAAUAGAGCACAAAUAUGAUAGAAACGUUAGAUUCCAUUAUAACGUAUCAUAAUGCAUCAUUAUCAAAUGACCACGUGGUUAAAAAAAUAUUCACCAUCAAGAUCCAAGGUGAAUAUAAAACUUGGAAUAAUACGUUUCGCAAUAUGAACAACAAUAUAUGUACAUAUCGCUAACUGUACAAUUUUGCUGUACAAAGUAUAUGGACGAACAGUAAAAGUUACAUUACAUAUAUAAUUCACGAUGUACACAACAUUCGCUGCAGAAAUCAUGAAUUUAAAAACAUAUUAU